Molecule: ribosomal RNA, 530 nt
Filed under: uncultured bacterium
Lineage: Bacteria
Description: bacterial SSU rRNA
Rfam family: Bacterial small subunit ribosomal RNA
Source: RNAcentral
UGGGGAAUAUUGCACAAUGGGCGCAAGCCUGAUGCAGCAAUGCCGCGUGAGUGAAGACGGCCUUAGGGUUGUAAAACUCUUUCGCUAGGGAAGAUAAUGACGGUACCUAGUAAAGAAGUCCCGGCUAACUCCGUGCCAGCAGCCGCGGUAAUACGGAGGGGGUUAGCGUUGUUCGGAAUUACUGGGCGUAAAGCGCACGUAGGCGGACCAGAAAGUUGGGGGUGAAAUCCCGGGGGCUCAACCCCGGAACUGCCUCCAAAACUAUUGGUCUAGAGUUCGAGAGAGGUGAGUGGAAUUCCAAGUGUAGAGGUGAAAUUCGUAGAUAUUUGGAGGAACACCAGUGGCGAAGGCGGCUCACUGGCUCGAUACUGACGCUGAGGUGCGAAAGUGUGGGGAGCAAAACAGGAUUAGAUACCCUGGUAGUCCACACCGUAAAACGAUGAAUGCCAGUCGUCGGGUAGCAUGCUAUUCGGUGACACACCUAACGGAUUAAGCAUUCCCGCCUGGGGAGUACGGUCGCAAGAUUAAAA